This 2993-nucleotide long non-coding RNA is filed under the name Sus scrofa (pig). RNAcentral describes it as "lncRNA (ENSSSCG00065010389.1)". The record is from RNAcentral. Lineage: Eukaryota; Metazoa; Chordata; Mammalia; Artiodactyla; Suidae.
UGGCUCUCUUAAAAAGCUUGGUUUCUGAAUGUCCUCUCUCAGGACACUCCCUUUCUGAACACAGUCACUGUGCUGUGAGGAAGCUCAAGCCCAGUCUCUGACCUGAAGAGGCUACAUGUCAGAACUCUUAUCAGCGGUCUCAGCUGAGCCCAGAUUUCUAGUCUUCUCAGACCACACGCCUGAUAUAUGAGCGAAGCAGCCUCUGGAUGACUCCAUUCUCUUGCUGUUUGAGCUCUCCCUAGGUACUUGAGGGAGGUCUUCUCUAUAGCCUUAGACAUGACAGAGCUGAGACAAACCACUCUCACUAUAUCCAAAUUCCUGACCCUCAGAAUUGUGGGCUUGACAAAGUGGUGGUAGUUUUACCACCUUGGAUAGUUUGUUGCUCAGAAGUAGCAGCUGGAACAAUAGGUGUUUCCAAGUUUGGUGCAACAGUGGAUCAGCACCAUCAAGAACAUAGGUUAUUCGGCAUUCCCAUCAUGGUGCAGCGGAAAUGAAUCCAACUGGGAACCAUGAGGAUGUGGGUUCCAUCCCUGGCCUUGCUCAGUGGGUUGAAGAUCUGGUGUUGCCAUGAGCUGUGGUGUAGUUUGCAUACAUGGCUUGGAUCUGGUGUUGCUAUAGCUGUGGUGUAGGCUGGCAGCUGCAUCUCCAAUUCGACCCUUAACCUGGGAGCCUCCAUACGCAGGGGAUACAGCCCUAGGGAAAAAAAAAAAAGCAAAAAAUAAAAAAGUUGUUUCUCUCUUUCUUCUCUGCUACCUUUAGCACAUUUUGGUGUCACCUUCCACAGGCACAGGGUGACACCACAAUUUCAGAUGUUUCACUUAAGGCAACAAACUCUCAAGAAUGAAGGAGGUAAGCAGGGGACUUUUGUCUCGUACCAGUUUUGUCAAGGAGGAGAAUUUUCUCCAGAAUUCCUUUGAUAGACUUCCCUUUAUAUCUCAUUGACCAGAGCUCAUUUUUAUGCUCAACUUUAGACUAAUAAAAGACAAAGGAGUUCCCAUUGUGGCUCAGGGUUUAAGAACCCUACUUGUAUCCUUGAGGAUGCAGGUUUGAUCCCUGGCCUUGCUCAUGGGUUUAGGAUCCAGCAUUGCCACAAGCUAUAGUGUAGACCACAGAUGAGGCUUUGAUCUGGCAUUGCUGUGGCUGUGACUGUGACUGUGGCUGGCAGCUGCAGCUCUGGUUUGACCCCUGGGCCUGGGAACUUCCAUAUGCUACAAGUGCAGUCCUAUAAAGUAAAACAAAAAACAAACAAAUAAUAAACAGAGACAAAGAAAAACGGACUUCUUAAUAUUGGUUUAAAUCAUGUACUUUUAGAAGUUCCCAUCAUGGUACAUAGGAAACAAAUCUAACUAGUGUCUGUGAGGUUGUGGGUUUGAUCCCUGGCCUUGCUCAGUGGGUUAAGUAUCUGGCAUUGCCAUGAGCUGUGGUGUAGGUCGCAUACAUGGCUCGGACCUGUCAUUGCUGUAGCUGUAGCGUAGGCUGGUGGAUACAGCUCUGAUUAGAUCCCUGGCCUGGGAACCUCCAUAUGCCAUGGGUGUGGCCCUAAAAAGACAAAAAAAAUUAAUUAAUUAAUUAAUUAAUCAUGCACAUUUAAACCACUCAAGGAUUUUUUUAAAUAAAUAAUCUCAAGCUUAACUCCCAACCAAUGAAAGGAGAGCUUAACCAUGUGAUCAUGCAAUCAUAGCUGAGAAUCAUUGGUCUGUGGACCAAUGGUAUCAGCAUCACCUGAGAGCUUCAGUCUCCUCCUAUGAAAUAAAAAUCUGUAUUUUAUCAGGAUCUGCAGUUUAUUUGUAUGUACAUGAAAGUUUGAAAAGCACUGGUUUAAACAAACUGUAAUUUAUCCUCUGGGGCUAGAUGUCAGCCCCCGGAGCUAAACAAAGUCAAUGUUCUAAUGUACAGAAAAAGGGAAAUGACUCUUGGGAAAGAAAUCAACAGUGUCUACUAUAGGAGCCUGCAUUGAGUUAUUUUGCCUCCUCCACAAUUCCCUGAGGCAUCUCCCUAGGAGAUUGUCUCCUUAAAACACAGCUUUAAAAAUCAUACAAUUACUGCCUUUAUCACAAUACAUAAAACCAAGCUUAAAUCAAUUGUGCAGCCCCUCCAUGGCUGAUUGGUCACUGCUCCUUUGUACACCUCUCUUGGAGUAUAUUCUUGGUCUUACUGUCCUAAACUUUCCUCUUUUUUUGCAUAAUCCAAGGUUUGCUUUACUAAAGUGUGUUGGCUCCCUGACUAUACAGUUUUGAUUGUCCUAGUGUUCAUACAUACUAACUAGAGCCGCUGAGUACCAGCCUUGAACCCUUAACAUUCCUAAACUUUGAAUGAGGUCAUGUAUUCAUUUAGCAAACAUUAAUUGAAUACAUGCUAUAAGCUGGACAUUUUGCUGGGUGAGGACAAAGGCAGGAGGAAGUUUAGAAGAGGAAGGAAAUGAAAAUAAUGCAACGUGUCCACAUUUUCAAGAUGCUUAAAAGCUAACGGGAAGGAGCUUUGAGGAAACAGACUGAUAUUAGAUAAUUGUAGCAAGGUUCCAAACCAAUGGUUCUCAAAUACUAUAUGUGGAUCCUUGUAACAUGGUAGGUUGAAGACAAGGGUAAGCACUUGGACUCAGAAAUCAGACUGACUUGGUUUCAUAUCUCAGCUCUAGCACUUUGUGGUUGGAUUACAUUAAACAAGGUUAUUGAACCUCUCAGGGUCUACUUCCUUCUCUGUAAAAUAAGAGAAUUAAAACCCACUUCCUAUAGUUCCCAUUGUGGCUCAGUGGAAAUGAGCCCAACUAGUAUUCAUGAAGAUGUAGGUUGGAUCCCUGGCCUCACUCAGUGGGUUAAGGAUCCAGCAUUGCUGUGAGCAAUGGGAUAGGUCACAGAUGUGGCUCAGAUGGAUCUGACAUCGCUGUGGCUGUGGCUGUGCCUGGCAGCUGCAGCUUUGAUUCAACCUCCAGCCUGCGAACUUGUGUAUGCCCAGGAAGUGGCCCUUAAAAAAAAAAAAAAAAAGAUAAAGAAAAA